ACUUGAGGAAAUAGAAGAGGUUGAGGAAGAAAUGGAGGCUGCUUGUUUAGCCGCUGAAAUGGAGAUCCCAUUAUUUGUUCAACUCUUACCACGGAGCCCUGGACCAUUUCCCUUUUGGGACCCAGAAAGGCUCAAAGUAGCUUACAAUACAUGACAACAAC
This is a long non-coding RNA of Alligator sinensis (Chinese alligator), 161 nucleotides long. RefSeq lists it as uncharacterized. The record is from RefSeq and is a predicted model, not a curated record. Lineage: Eukaryota; Metazoa; Chordata; Crocodylia; Alligatoridae. The transcript has 3 exons.